RNAcentral lists this ribosomal RNA (397 nucleotides) under uncultured bacterium. RNAcentral describes it as "partial 16S ribosomal RNA". It matches the Rfam family "Bacterial small subunit ribosomal RNA", at positions 523 to 918 of the family's 1533-position model. The record is from RNAcentral.
AUACGUAGGGGGCGAGCGUUGUCCGGAAUGACUGGGCGUAAAGGGCGUGUAGGCGGCCGAUUAAGUCUGGAGUGAAAGUCCCGCUUUCAAGGUGGGAAUUGCUUUGGAGACUGGUUGGCUUGAGUGCGGCAGAGGUAAGUGGAAUUCCCAGUGUAGCGGUGAAAUGCGUAGAGAUUGGGAGGAACACCAGUGGCGAAGGCGACUUACUGGGCCGUAACUGACGCUGAGGCGCGAAAGCGUGGGGAGCGAACAGGAUUAGAUACCCUGGUAGUCCACGCUGUAAACGAUGAAUGCUAGGUGUAGGGGGUAUCGACCCUUCCUGUGCCGGAGUAAACGCAAUAAGCAUUCCGCCUGGGGAGUACGGCCGCAAGGUUGAAACUCAAAGGAAUUGACGGGG